This 5782-nucleotide transfer RNA is filed under the name Sus scrofa (pig). Its description in RNAcentral is "lncRNA (ENSSSCG00035046870.1)". The record is from RNAcentral. Lineage: Eukaryota; Metazoa; Chordata; Mammalia; Artiodactyla; Suidae.
UUUUUUUUUUUUUUUUUUUUUUUGGUUUUUAAGGCUGUACCUGUGGCAUAUGGAAGUUCCCAGGCUAGGGGUCUAAUCGGAGCUGUUGACACCAGCCUACGCCAGAGCCACAGCAACUCGGGAUCCGAGCCGCGUCUGCAACCUACACCACAGCUCACGGCAACGCCAGAUCAUUAACCCACUGAGCAAGGGCAGGGACCGAACCCGCAACCUCAUGGUUCCUAGUCGGAUUCGUUAACCACUGCGCCACGACGGGAACUCCAUGGAUUCUUAAUCCACUGAGCAAGACCAGGGAUCAAACCUGCAUCCUCAUGGAUACUGGUUGAGUUCGUAACCUGCAGAGCACAACGGGAACCCCUAUUUUUCUUUUAAUAAUUUUUCCCCACUUUUAUCAUUUUAGAUUUAUGUAUUUAAAUAACAUGUGCUUAUAUUCCUCCUAAUUACUAUUAUUCUUUUUCAAAGUUCUCUUGGUUCUUUCACCUGUUUCUUUUUCUCUGCAGGAGCUCAGUACUUGCACUUCAUGACUGGGGUGUAGGGAUGAUAUAAGUGGGCUUUAGGUGUCCUGUGAAGAUCUUGAAAUUUUAUAUAAAAUUAUGUGUGUAUAUGACAGUACAUUUUUCUCUAAGGAGUUACAUAUCUUUUAUUGGCUUUUAAGGUGGAUGCUUAAAUUUAGGAAUCACUGAGAGUUACGUUGUCAAAAUCAGAUAUUCCUAUUGAGAUUUUUGAAUCUGUGGAGGAUAAUAUCAUUCUUUAUGCAAUUUUGUUUUCCCAUCCAGAAGCAUACUGGUGUCUCUUCAUUUAGUGCGGAUUUCUUUUAUGUACCAUAGUAAGUCUUUGUAAUUUUCUUUAUAUAGUUCCUAAACAUUUAUUAUUAAUUUUCCUGUAUUUUAAACCUAGUGAAUCUGCUGACCAGCAUUUUUGAAAGAAAGAAAUGGAAAGAGGGAGAGGGUGAGAAAAAAAGAAAGACGGAGGUUGGAAAGCGAUACACAAAACAUCCUAGGUAGUCCCUAAAGUUUGACAUGCUUCUGGUAAUCUCAUUUUAUUCUGUAAUUUUAUUGUCAAUGUAUUAUAAAACACAUUAUUAGAAAGCCUGACCCUGGGGUCUUUUUUAAGCAUCACUCUCUUGCUUGUGGUUUUGGGGAUCUUUUACAGACUGCAGUGUUGUUCUAGGACAGAACCUUUCCCUCCUUUGCUUUGGUGAGGCAUAACCAUAUCAGGUAACAUUCUGGAACUCUACAUUGCAUAAUCUUGGACAUUUUCAUAUAAGAAGGCACUAAGGAGAUUUUAUUUUUUAUGAAAAAGCAACUCUUAAGUAACAGUGACUGUUUUUUAUGGGAUAGCUCCAGACCGCAUUUGCUUACUUCCCACGCUCUAGUUUUUCUGAUGUCCUAGAAGCUUUAAGUACAGAGGUCAGAAUGACAUUUUAGGGCUCUCCAUCUGAAUUCCAUAAUCUUAAAAUGGAUACUAUUCACCAUAUCAAAAAGGCUAGUUCUAUUUUCUUUAUUUUCUAGAUUAAAAAUAUAUUCACUUUUUGAUAUAUUAAUAUUUUAUUCAUUUUAAACAACUUUUAUCUUGAAGUUGCAGUCUGAAAAAAAUGGUAUAAAGAUUUCUUUUUUAACCUUUAACUCAGAUGCCCAAGAUGCUAAAAUUUCACCAUAUUUGCUGUAUCGUGUGUCCUAUUUUUUUCUGAAACGUUUGAGAAUAGGCUUAUAACAAAAAAAAGAAUAAGCUUAUAGACAUGAUGUACCUUUAGCACCAAGAACUUUAGUGUGUAUUUCUUAAAAAUAAAAAGGCAUUCCUCAGAAUUAGGAAAUAUUGAGAAAAUAUUUGUGUCUAAUCUACAGGCACUCAAAUUUGGUCAUUUGCCCCACUGAUUUCCUUUCUAGGAAAAAAAAUGCCUUUUUACUCCCCUAGUCUAGGAUCCAAUCCCAGAAUCAUGUACUGCAUUUAGUUUGCCCUCUUCAGUCUCCUUUAAUCCAGAACCGUGCCUUGAUUUUUUCAUCUUUCAGAAUUUAAAAAAUACAGACUUCUGCUUUUUUCAAGAAUGCCCCUCAAUUUGGAUUUGCCUGAUGAUUCUGUGAGAUUAGACUUAAACUCUGCUAUGAUCAUUUCAGGAGACAUGUGAUGUCUAUUUUAUUGGUGAUAAUAUUCACUGUGAUCACUUGUUUAAGGUGAUGGUUGAUUUUUUUUUUUUUUGUCUUUUUUGCCUUUUCUAGGGCUGCUCCCCCUGAAUAUGGAGGUUCCCAGGCUAGGGGUCGAAUCGGAGCUGUAGCCACCAGCCUACGCCAGAACCACAGCAGCGCGGGAACUGAGCUGCGUCUGCAACCUACACCACAGCUCAUGGCAACACCAGAUCCUUAACCCACUGAGCAAGGGCAGGGGCCAAACCCGCAACCUCGUGGUUCCCAGUCAGAUCCGUUAAGCACUGCGCCACGAUGGGAACUCCGGUGGUUCAUAUUUUUAAAGAGCACAAUUUUUAUGUUAAGAUUUUGUUUUCCUUUGGUGGAAUGAGUCCUAGAGACCUUUCUAGGACUCAGUAAAAAUAUCUGUUUAAUUGUAAGCCUUAAAAACUUUUUUCUAAGCUCCACCUUACCUUGGACAUUAUCAGCUUCUUAAGACUCUUAUCUGGGAGAAUCAGGCAGGAAAAAGACUUGGAGAGCUUCCAGAGCAGAUGGGUCCUCAGCCUGAAUAUUUGUUUAUAGGGGUUAGGAAGCCUCUGCACCUGAUCGUGACAGAAUUGUUGGUGGAUCCCAUGGGGUAGAAUUCUAUCAUUACUAAUUGAUAAGACAGCUAACAUGUCACUUAUUUUCUUUAUUCUGCAAUUUUAUCAUUUGUUAAAUGGGGAUUGUGAUACCUGUUUUUAAUUACCACAGUGAAAUAUGGGGACAAAAUAAUAGAUCAAUAAAUGUGAAACUUUUUUUUUCACAACCCUCCUUCAUAUAUUUAUGGCGGAAAAGCACAGAAAAGCUGUUGAUUAUUGUUCAUCUAUGUACCGAUGGCCGACACAGAGAUCUCCAGUGCAUUUUUCCAGGAGGUCUGUCCUUGACUUGUUUCUAUUCAGUGCUCCUAUUAAUAACUUUCUUAGAAGAAAUUAUGAAAGAUGUUCUUAGUUUUGUAGAUGACAAAGUCAGAGAAUUCAUAUUCAAAAUUAUCUUGAAAUACUAGAAUUAAAGCCAGGUACUGCAAGAUGACAUUUCCUAAAAUAAGUUCCAAAGAUCAGUUGUAAAAUAGAGGAUUGAAAAGAUGAACUUAAUAUGAGCAACUGCAGAAAACCUAAUUUAAACCUAUAGUCAUCAAAAAGAGGUUAUACUAUUCCAUUCAAAGAAGGUAAUAGUAAAAUUAUCACUGUUUUAAGAAUAUUUAAAAACUAGGGUAUAUCUAGAAAAAGGUAACCAAGAUCUUGAUCUUUUUGUCACAGCGAGAUUUCAGUUAAAUACCAUAUAACUGUUUUUCGGUAAUGAUUAGAAGAUAUUCUUUUGUGUAAAAUGCUGAAGUAAAUGCAACAUUACAUCUUUUUAUCCAUUUUCAUAUUGGCACCUUUUGAAAAGUUUUAUUAAUUUUAUGUAGAUGAAAUACUUUUAAAAUAAUUUCAUAAUUAAAGUCUUAUUCAGCAACCAAUAAAUAUUAUUUAUCCAGUAGAUACUCAUAAAGAUUAGUUAAUAAUGACAAUAUAAUUAAAAACCAGUUUUCUGUGCCUUCAUUUAUAUUUAAGGAAUACAGCUGAAUUCAAAAUAACAAUUUCAAGGUCUAGGUCUUACUGAAUUUCUGAAUUUAUUUUUUACCAUUAUCGCAGUUGCUGUGGAAAUAUAAAGACAGUCUUCAUAAUGGAAUUGUAAAUGGUUAAAAGGUAAUUAUUUAAAGCUACUUGUAUUGGUUUUUGUUCACUUCUUGUUAUUUUGUAAGCUAAAGGUAUGGAACCAAAGGAUUUUUUACAUAAUGAAGAUAAAUUUCUCACAUGUCUGCGAGUCACCUGGUCUGUUUCCAUUCAAUCUCUUAAGUAUUAGUAAAGCAUAUUUCAAGAUGAUUAAAUUAAGAGGAAGAACCUUCUGGAUUUGAGCGCCUCUGCAGCCUACACCACAGCUCACAGCUCACGGCAAUGCUGGAUCUCAACCCACUGAACGAGGCCAGGGAUCGAACCCACCUGCAUCCUCAUGGAUACUAGUUGGGUCUGUUACUGCUGAGCCACAAUGAGAACUCUGUAUGGUCUAUUUUUGAACUCUUUUGUAGUAUUAUUUUUCCUUAAAAUCUUUGAUCAACUUGGCAUUUAAGAGAUGAGGCAGAGAGUCAGCUAUAUUUUUUUCUAGUUAUCUACCCUAUUACCCCAAGACUAUUUAUUGCAUAACUUACCUGGUUUUUCUGUUUUAAAGUAACACCUUUAUCUUAUACUAGGUCUGUCUCCUACUUCAGUCUAUUCUGGUGUACUUUCCACUCAUGCGCGCUACCAAAUUGUUUCUGAUGAUGUCACUUUAGAGGUUUUUUAUACCUGGUAGAUAUAGUCCCAUCUUUUAACUCUAGUUUUUCAGAAUUUCCUGGCUCUUCUUAAAUGUUUAAUUUCCCUAUGAACCUUAGAAUUAACGUGUCUAGUUUCUAAAAAAUCGUACUGAUGUUUUUGAGGAUAUUAAUCUUUAACAUAUGAACAUUCAGUGACUUUACACUCCUAGAAUUUCCUAAGAAAUUUUUUUUCCAUUAUACCAAGUCUAAAAUUUUUCCUUACUACUAUUUUAAAGAUUUCUUCAUAACAUAUUUACUCAUAACUUUUUGAUUUAUUCUUGGAUACUCCAUCAUCUUUUGGUGUCAUUGUAAUGGACUCAUUGUAUUUUUAAAAACUGAUCGUUUUUGAAUAGAGGAAGUCUAUUAAUUUUGAGCCCACUCUUUUUAUCAUAUUCAUGUAUUGUUUGUAAUAGAUUUUUAAUUCAUGUCCCUUGUCCUCAACCCACACUGUGUGUGUGUGUGUGUGUGUGUGUGUGUGUGUGUGUGUGUGUGUGUUUAGGGCUGCACCUGCAACAUAUGGAAGAUCCUAGGCUAGGGGUCAAAUCAGAGCUGCAGCUGCUGGCCUACAGCACAGCCACAGCAACGCCAGAUUCUUAACCCACUGAGCAAGGCCAGGGAUCAAACCUGCAUCUUCAUGGAUACUAGUCAGGUUUUGUUAAUGCUGAACCAUGAUGGGAACUCCUCCCACACUCUUUAUUUAGCUAACUUGCAUUCUUCCUUAAGAUGUCAGCUUCAAGAUGACUUUGUAAGAGCCCUUUCUCAACCUCCAAAUCUCAAGAUCCCCAUUGUACUCCUCUUAGCUUUCUGUACUUCUCCUUAGAGUGCUUGCUGCAGCUUGAAGUUUGAAAUUAUACACUUUUGGUGGGAUUUUGUUGUUGUCUUAACAUUUGUCUUUCCCUCUAUCUUGUAAACUCUGUGUGGGUAAGAAAUGUGUGUAUUUUCUUCCUCUACCUACCUUCAGUGUGGAGCACUGAGCACUGUUCCUACAUGCAGUAGACAGUAGAUACUGCUUGACUGAUUCUUGAUUGAUUAGUUGGUUGAAUGUGUGAUUGGAUUGUCCAUUUGUGGAAAUUUACCUAUUUCUAAUUUUUCAGUCUCUUACUAUUAUUUUGAGUUCCACCACACUUUAAAAAUCACCUCCUGGGGAGUUCCCUUGUGGUGCAGUGGAUUAAGUAUCUAGCAUUGUCACUACAAAAGCUUGGGUUGCUGCUGUGGUGUGGGUUUGAACCCUGUCUAGGGAACUUCUGUAUGCCACAGGCAUGGACAAAAAGAAAACAAAAAAAAAAAAAAG